UACGUAGGUGGCAAGCGUUGUCCGGAAUUAUUGGGCGUAAAGAGCUCGUAGGCGGUUUGUCGCGUCUGCUGUGAAAACCCGAGGCUCAACCUCGGGCCUGCAGUGGGUACGGGCAGACUAGAGUGCGGUGGGGGAGAUUGGAAUUCCUGGUGUAGCGGUGGAAUGCGCAGAUAUCAGGAGGAACACCAAUGGCGAAGGCAGAUCUCUGGGCCGUAACUGACGCUGAGGAGCGAAAGCAUGGGGAGCGAACAGG
This 253-nucleotide ribosomal RNA is filed under the name uncultured bacterium. RNAcentral describes it as "partial 16S ribosomal RNA". It matches the Rfam family "Bacterial small subunit ribosomal RNA", at positions 524 to 776 of the family's 1533-position model. The record is from RNAcentral.